GAUAAAGAAACCUGUGAUUUCUUGACCAGAGGAACUGUUAGACAGGGAGGAUAAACAGACUGAGCAGUUAAUGUUGAAAAAGGAAAACAGUAGGGAUUGCCUGGGAGCUGUUAACUUCACAGCAGUGAGCUGGGCCCCAAAGAGAUGCUUGGUUUUACAAUGAAAGAAAAAAUGAGUUGUGCUUUUUUUUUUUUUUUUAAUUCUCUUGCAUUGUACAUUGUUGUGAGCAUUAUCAGAUUUUAGAGAUUAUUGAAAGACAUGGGACUCAAAUUGUAGUAUUGAGUCACAACUUUUUUUAUCCUCUGAGUUUUCACUGUAUAUACAUAAAAUUAAACUUUUAAACUGGGUAUGAAAUGUAAAAAAAAAGAUAAAAUAGCUUAAGCAUAUUUUCAGGUUUCAAACAAAAUAUAACAGUCUUUAGAGAAGAAAAAGCCCAAUAUUUGACAUUAAGUGACUUUAGGGGCUAAAUAAUCACUUGUAGCUGUUUUCAGUGUGGACCUUGAAUGUGUGUUUAAUUUUUUGUGAACAGAUUGAUGACGCUUCUGCAUCUAUUUCUCUGGCCCAGCUUACAAAGGUAUAUAUAUAUAUAUUCUUGAAAAUAUAAGUCUUUUUAUAACAUUUUAAAGAUGUGAAGCAGUAUUUUUAAGAUGGGUGGGGAGGAUGUAUCUUGUGAGUGCGCUGUAUGUACUGUUUGGCCGUGCUGGCCUGAGAAGAUAGGGGUACCUUGGUCAGCCCCCGCAUAAUGCUCACCUUCAAGACUGAAGAAACACAAGAAGCGACACUUAACCAUUGUUUCCCCUUUACACCAUUUUGUUUAAUUAGACACUGGAAACUAACAUAAUUCUGGAGGAGUCCCCUAGUUUUGGCUGUGAAUUAUGUGGACUUCUUUUUAAAUAGCCAAAACAGAAGAUUUCCUUUCCAUGGACAAUUGUGUGGUUAAUUCUUGAAAUUUUUAAUUGAUCCCACCAAGGUCAAUAUUUUAAAUGUGGUACAGUUGUUUCUUUAUGCUUUAGGCUUGUAGUCUGUCUGCAUUAGAAAAAUUUUAAACAACGUAAUUUGUUUGAACACAGACUACAUGAAUUGUGUUAAGUAUGUACUUAUGAUGCUGUUUGCAGGAAUAUGAGUGUGUAUGUUUGGAGAGGGCCAAAUUGUUCCCUCCUGAAAUCACUGUAUACAUCAUGUUGUUUGAUAAGGUUGCUUACAUUUAUGCUCGAUAAUGUGUAUCUUCUGUUUGGGAAAGCACUAGCGAUGGAUUCUUUUUUUUUUUUUUUUUUAAGACAGUGUAUUUUAGAUUGCAGGGUGUGUCUUUAGAAGACCAGAACAGGUAGAAUUGAGGGCUCAAAAGGAUUCCUGAAAAUCUUUUUCCCCCCUACUAUCAAGAAAUGAAAAGUAUGAUUUAACAGCCAACAUCAGAAGAGAAAAUGAAAAGUUAUCCUUUAGUGAUGUCCCUAUCUUUUAUCCUUGACUUGGUUGUGGGUUGUGUCCUUUUUUCUAGGAUGUAUCCUUAAAAGAUGUCCUGACAACAAAUUGCUACUUAAGCUCUAGUCCUAAGAAAACUAAAUACUAAAAUUAAUUAUCCUAAAUAGAGUGGAUGAACCAUGCUGUCAUUUUCUAGUGUAAGGUGGUUUAGCACAGAGGUCAUGUCUUUGGCAGCUUAUAGUUCCUGCUGUCUGUGUUUAUGUGUUCUGAGGGCUGGGUUUGAGGGUUGCUCUUUUCUGCUGCUGUUACUUGACUGGGAGGAGUUGGGAAGGUUUGGAGGUUUGGGUUUGUUUUGUUUUUUUUUUUCUUUUUUCUUUUUUUUGUUUUUGUUUUUAAUCUAUUUGUAAAAUAAUGUUUGGGUUCAAACAAAUUAGUUGUUGAACAUCUGUAAUCAGUUUUCUGUAAAUGUUACUGUUGUUCCAAGUUCUGUUAAUAUUAAGCAUUCUGUGUAUUUAAAAUUAAAAUAAAGUGUUAAAACUG
This 1959-nucleotide long non-coding RNA is filed under the name Mus musculus (house mouse). Its description in RNAcentral is "long non-coding RNA chr7:122982433-122984392". The record is from RNAcentral. Lineage: Eukaryota; Metazoa; Chordata; Mammalia; Rodentia; Muridae.